AUUGAACGCUGGCGGAAUGCUUUACACAUGCAAGUCGAACGGUAGAGGGGGCAACCCCUCGAGAGUGGCGAACGGGUGAGUAAUAUAUCGGAACGUGCCCAGUCGUGGGGGAUAACGUAGCGAAAGUUACGCUAAUACCGCAUACGAUCUAAGGAUGAAAGCGGGGGACCGUAAGGCCUCGCGCGAUUGGAGCGGCCGAUAUCAGAUUAGGUAGUUGGUGAGGGAAAGGCUCACCAAGCCAACGAUCUGUAGCUGGUCUGAGAGGACGACCAGCCACACAGGAACUGAGACACGGUCCAGACUCCUACGGGAGGCAGAAGUGGGGAAUUUUGGACAAUGGACGCAAGUCUGAUCCAGCCAUUCCGCGUGCAGGAUGAAGGCCCUCGGGUUGUAAACUGCUUUUGUACGGAACGAAAAGGUCUCUCCUAAUACGAGGGGCUCAUGACGGUACCGUAAGAAUAAGCACCGGCUAACUACGUGCCAGCAGCCGCAGUAA
This 496-nucleotide ribosomal RNA is filed under the name uncultured bacterium. RNAcentral describes it as "partial 16S ribosomal RNA". It matches the Rfam family "Bacterial small subunit ribosomal RNA", at positions 30 to 523 of the family's 1533-position model. The record is from RNAcentral.